CUUCGGAGGUACUCGAGUGGCGAACGGGUGAGUAACACGUGGGUAAUCUGCCCUGCACUUCGGGAUAAGCCUGGGAAACUGGGUCUAAUACCGAAUAGGACCAUUUAGCGCAUGCUUUAUGGUGGAAAGCUUUUGCGGUGUGGGAUGGGCCCGCGGCCUAUCAGCUUGUUGGUGGGGUGACGGCCUACCAAGGCGACGACGGGUAGCCGGCCUGAGAGGGUGUCCGGCCACACUGGGACUGAGAUACGGCCCAGACUCCUACGGGAGGCAGCAGUGGGGAAUAUUGCACAAUGGGCGCAAGCCUGAUGCAGCGACGCCGCGUGGGGGAUGACGGCCUUCGGGUUGUAAACCUCUUUCAGCAGGGACGAAGCGAAAGUGACGGUACCUGCAGAAGAAGCACCGGCCAACUACGUGCCAGCAGCCGCGGUAAUACGUAGGGUGCGAGCGUUGUCCGGAAUUACUGGGCGUAAAGAGCUCGUAGGUGGUUUGUCGCGUUGUUCGUGAAAACCGGGGGCUUAACCCUCGGCGUGCGGGCGAUACGGGCAGACUGGAGUACUGCAGGGGAGACUGGAAUUCCUGGUGUAGCGGUGGAAUGCGCAGAUAUCAGGAGGAACACCGGUGGCGAAGGCGGGUCUCUGGGCAGUAACUGACGCUGAGGAGCGAAAGCGUGGGGAGCGAACAGGAUUAGAUACCCUGGUAGUCCACGCCGUAAACGGUGGGUACUAGGUGUGGGUUUCCUUCCUUGGAAUCCGUGCCGUAGCUAACGCAUUAAGUACCCCGCCUGGGGAGUACGGCCGCAAGGCUAAAACUCAAAGGAAUUGACGGGGGCCCGCACAAGCGGCGGAGCAUGUGGAUUAAUUCGAUGCAA
This 868-nucleotide ribosomal RNA is filed under the name Mycobacterium sp. STR-17. RNAcentral's name for it is "bacterial SSU rRNA". It matches the Rfam family "Bacterial small subunit ribosomal RNA", at positions 78 to 959 of the family's 1533-position model. The record is from RNAcentral. Lineage: Bacteria; Bacillati; Actinomycetota; Actinomycetes; Mycobacteriales; Mycobacteriaceae. RNAcentral also lists the same sequence under 1 other name.